CAGCAGCCGCGGUAAUACAGAGGGUGCGAGCGUUAAUCGGAUUUACUGGGCGUAAAGCGUGCGUAGGCGGCUUCUUAAGUCGGAUGUGAAAUCCCUGAGCUUAACUUAGGAAUUGCAUUCGAUACUGGGAAGCUAGAGUAUGUGAGAGGAUGGUAGAAUUCCAGGUGUAGCGGUGAAAUGCGUAGAGAUCUGGAGGAAUACCGAUGGCGAAGGCAGCCAUCUGGCCUAAUACUGACGCUGAGGUACGAAAGCAUGGGGAGCAAACAGGAUUAGAGACCCGCGUAGUCCCUGUCUCUUAUAC
RNAcentral lists this ribosomal RNA (301 nucleotides) under uncultured bacterium. RNAcentral's name for it is "partial 16S ribosomal RNA". It matches the Rfam family "Bacterial small subunit ribosomal RNA", at positions 509 to 807 of the family's 1533-position model. The record is from RNAcentral.